RNAcentral lists this ribosomal RNA (253 nucleotides) under uncultured bacterium. RNAcentral's name for it is "partial 16S ribosomal RNA". It matches the Rfam family "Bacterial small subunit ribosomal RNA", at positions 524 to 776 of the family's 1533-position model. The record is from RNAcentral.
GACGGAGGGUGCAAGCGUUGUUCGGAAUCACUGGGCGUAAAGCGCGUGUAGGCGGUUGAAUAAGCCGAAUGUGAAAUCCCGUGGCUUAACCACGGAAGUGCAUUCGGAACUGUUUGGCUUGAGUACGGGAGAGGGAAGUGGAAUUCCUGGUGUAGAGGUGAAAUUCGUAGAUAUCAGGAGGAACACCGGUGGCGAAGGCGGCUUCCUGGACCGAUACUGACGCUGAGACGCGAAAGCGUGGGGAGCAAACAGG